RNAcentral lists this ribosomal RNA (164 nucleotides) under uncultured bacterium. Its description in RNAcentral is "partial 16S ribosomal RNA". It matches the Rfam family "Bacterial small subunit ribosomal RNA", at positions 355 to 511 of the family's 1533-position model. The record is from RNAcentral.
UAGGGAAUCUUCCACAAUGGACGAAAGUCUGAUGGAGCAACGCCGCGUGAGUGAAGAAGGGUUUCGGCUCGUAAAACUCUGUUGUUAAAGGAGAACAUAUCUGAGAGUAACUGUUCAGGUAUUGACGGUAUUUAACCAGAAAGCCACGGCUAACUACGUGCUAG